This 76-nucleotide transfer RNA is filed under the name Tissierellia bacterium. RNAcentral describes it as "tRNA-Thr". It matches the Rfam family "tRNA". From Rfam's summary of the family: Transfer RNA (tRNA) molecules are approximately 80 nucleotides in length. Their secondary structure includes four short double-helical elements and three loops (D, anti-codon, and T loops). Lineage: Bacteria; Bacillati; Bacillota; Tissierellia. The record is from RNAcentral.
GCCAAUAUAGCUCAGUCGGUAGAGCAGCAGUCUCGUAAACUGCAGGUCAAGGGUUCGAUUCCCUUUAUUGGCUCCA